Molecule: ribosomal RNA, 253 nt
Filed under: uncultured prokaryote
Description: partial 16S ribosomal RNA
Rfam family: Bacterial small subunit ribosomal RNA
Source: RNAcentral
GACAGGGGGUGCAAACGUUGUUCGGAAUCACUGGGCAUAAAGCGCACGUAGGCGGCCGACUAAGUCAGAUGUGAAAGCCCCCGGCUCAACCGGGGAACAGCACCUGAUACUGGUUGGCUUGAGGACGGUAGGGGUGAGUGGAACUCCAGGUGGAGCGGUGAAAUGCGUAGAUAUCUGGAGGAACACCAAUGGCGAAGGCAGCUCGCUGGGACGGUACUGACGCUGAGACGCGAAAGCGUGGGGAGCAAACAGG